This 253-nucleotide ribosomal RNA is filed under the name uncultured bacterium. RNAcentral describes it as "partial 16S ribosomal RNA". It matches the Rfam family "Bacterial small subunit ribosomal RNA", at positions 524 to 776 of the family's 1533-position model. The record is from RNAcentral.
GACAGAGGGUGCAAGCGUUGUCCGGAUUUAUUGGGCGUAAAACGUCUGUAGGCGGUUUAUUAAGUCUAAAGUUAAAUAGUUGAGCUCAACUCAAUCUCUGCUUUAGAUACUGAUAGACUAGAGUGCGUUAGGGGUUGUUGGAAUUCCCGGUGUAGUGGUGAAAUACAUAGAUAUCGGGAGGAACUCCAGUGGCGAAAGCGAACAACUGGGGCGUAACUGACGCUGAGAGACGAAAGCGUGGGGAGCAAACAGG